UUAAAUUGAAGAGUUUGAUCAUGGCUCAGAUUGAACGCUGGCGGCAGGCCUAACACAUGCAAGUCGAACGGUAGCACAGAGAGCUUACUCUCGG
RNAcentral lists this ribosomal RNA (94 nucleotides) under Salmonella enterica. RNAcentral's name for it is "partial 16S ribosomal RNA". It matches the Rfam family "Bacterial small subunit ribosomal RNA", at positions 1 to 89 of the family's 1533-position model. Lineage: Bacteria; Pseudomonadati; Pseudomonadota; Gammaproteobacteria; Enterobacterales; Enterobacteriaceae. The record is from RNAcentral.